This 476-nucleotide ribosomal RNA is filed under the name Acrapex curvata. Its description in RNAcentral is "partial 16S large subunit ribosomal RNA". The record is from RNAcentral. Lineage: Eukaryota; Metazoa; Arthropoda; Insecta; Lepidoptera; Noctuidae.
UGUCUUUUUGAAAAUAAUAUAAAGUCUAAUCUGCCCACUGAUAUAAUAUUAAAGGGCUGCAGUAUAUUGACUGUACAAAGGUAGCAUAAUCAUUAGUCAUUUAAUUGAUGACUUGUAUGAAGGAUUGGAUGAAAUAUAAUCUGUCUCUUAGUUAUAAGUAAAAUUUAAUUUUUUAAUUAAAAAGUUAAAAUAAGUUAAAAAGACGAGAAGACCCUAUAGAGUUUUAUAAAUUAAUUAAAUUAAGAUUAUUUAAUUAUUAAGAUUAAAAUUAAAUUAUUUAUUGUAUUGGGGUGAUAAAAAAAUAAAUUUAACUUUUUUUAAAUUAAAAACAUUUAUAAGUGAUUAAGUGAUCCAAUAUUAUUGAUUAUAAGAAAAAAUUACCUUAGGGAUAACAGCGUAAUUUUUUUUUUUAGCUCAUAUAAAAAAAAGAGUUUGCGACCUCGAUGUUGGAUUAAGAUAAAAUUUAAAUGUAGAAG